Molecule: ribosomal RNA, 2121 nt
Filed under: human metagenome
Description: bacterial LSU rRNA
Rfam family: Bacterial large subunit ribosomal RNA
Source: RNAcentral
UGUGAAGGAAAGGUGAAAAGCACCCCGGGAGGGGAGUGAAAGAGAACCUGAAACCUUGUGCUUACAAGCACCGAGAGCCCGUCAACGGGUGAUCGGGUACCUUUUGUAGAAUGGUCCGGCGAGUGAAUGUAACUGGCAAGGUUAAGGACUUAAGGUCUGAAGCCGCAGCGAGAGCAAGUCUUAAUAGGGCGUAAGAAGUCAGUUGUAUUCGACCCGAAACCGGGUGACCUACCCAUGUCCAGGUUGAAGUGGAGGUAAAACUCCAUGGAGGACCGAACCGACUCCCGUUGAAAUGGUAGCGGAUGAGGUGUGGGUAGCGGAGAAAUUCCAAUCGAACCCGGAGAUAGCUGGUUCUCUCCGAAAUAGUUUUAGGACUAGCCUCGUAUUAGAUUACCGGAGGUAAAGCACUGAAUGAGCUAGGGGCCGAGAGGUUACUGAACUCUAUCAAACUCAGAAUGCCGGAUAAUUGAUGUACGGGAGUCAGACAGUGUGAGAUAAGUUUCAUUGUCAAAAGGGAAACAGCCCAGACCCACAGCUAAGGUCCCAAAGUACGGUUAAGUGGAAAAGGAUGUGGAGUUGCACAGACAACCAGGAUGUUGGCUUAGAAGCAGCCACUCAUUAAAAGAGUGCGUAAUAGCUCACUGGUCGAGUGACCCUGCGCCGAAAAUUUAACGGGGCUAAAUCAUACACCGAAGCUUGGGAUUGACAGAUAUUCUUCAUGUUUUCAGGCAGAAAAGGAAAGAGAGGAAAUCUGAUGGCGCCGAAGAAUGAGGCGGCAUUAAAUUUCUGUUCAAGUAAAAGCAUGAAGAUGUGAAGAAUAUCUGUCGAUGGUAGGAGAGCGUUCUAUGUGGGGAGAAGUCUGAGCGGAAGCGCAGGUGGACUGCAUAGAAGUGAGAAUGCCGGAAUGAGUAGCGCGAAAUAUGUGAGAAUCAUAUUGGCCGAAAGUCUAAGGUUUUUGGAGGAAGGUUCGUCCGCUCCAAGUAAGUCGGGAGCUAAGGCGAGGCCGAAAGGCGUAGUCGAUGCACAUACGGUAGAUAUUCCGUAACCGCCGAAGGAUUAAAGCAAAGGGACACCUGCAAAGCGUGUAACCCGGGCGAUGGUUGCCCCGGGCGUAAGGGACCGAAAUUUAGUAGGGAAGUACAUGUAGAGCAGGGCGAGAAAAGCUUUGUGUAUAUCCAAGGCGCCCGUACCGCAAACCGACACAGGUAGAUAGGAAGAGAAUUCUAAGGCCAACGGGAGAAGGGUAGUUAAGGAACUCGGCAAAUUGACCCCGUAACUUAGGAAUAAGGGGUGCCACAGCGAUGUGGUCGCAGAGAAUAGGCCCAGGCAACUGUUUAUCAAAAACACAGGUCUCUGCCAAAUCGAAAGAUGAAGUAUAGGGGCUGACACCUGCCCGGUGCUGGAAGGUUAAGAGGAGAUGUGCAAGCAUUGAAUUGAAGCCCCAGUAAACGGCGGCCGUAACUAUAACGGUCCUAAGGUAGCGAAAUUCCUUGUCGGGUAAGUUCCGACCCGCACGAAUGGUGUAACGAUCUGGACGCUGUCUCAACUGCCCACCCGGCGAAAUUGUAGUACCGGUGAAGAUGCCGGUUACCCGCGGCAAGACGGAAAGACCCCAUGGAGCUUUACUGUAACUUGAUAUUGGGUCUUGGUAUUCUAUGUACAGGAUAGGCGGGAGACUAUGAAACAUACACGCCAGUGUAUGCGGAGUCACCCUUGGGAUACCGCUCUUAGAGUACUGAGAUUCUAACCUGCGGCCGUGAAUCCGGUCGGGGGACAUUGUCAGGUGGGCAGUUUGACUGGGGCGGUCGCCUCCUAAAAGGUAACGGAGGCGCUCAAAGGUUAGCUCAGCACGGUCGGAAACCGUGCCUCUGAGUGCAAACGCAAAAGCUAGCCUAACUGCGAGGCUGACGGGCCGAGCAGUAACGAAAGUUGGAGUUAGUGAUCCGGCGGUAUGUGAAUGGAAAUGCCGUCGCUCAACGGAUAAAAGCUACCCUGGGGAUAACAGGCUGAUCUCCCCCAAGAGUCCACAUCGACGGGGAGGUUUGGCACCUCGAUGUCGGCUCAUCACAUCCUGGGGCUGUAUUCGGUCCCAAGGGUUCGGCUGUUCGCCGAUUAAAGUGG